CUCUGCGUGCGCCGGAGGCUGCCGUGGCGGGUGGGCCGCCUGACUUCUCCUCCCGGCCAGUUCUCGAGCGCCUCACCGGGCCUCGCCCUGCAGCCUCGCUCUCGCUGGCGCUGCGCGGCCUAGGGGACUGGGCUGCUGGCCUCCGGGUGCGGGGUGGGGGCAGGCUCCGACCUGGGGCGUCCUGGCCGCGCGAGCCGCGGGAUGGGGGCCCGGGCCGCGGAGGAGGCGCCGCUGGUGUGUCCCUUGGUGGAGAGGGCGCUGCCGGCCCUGCGCGGUUUCCAGCCAGGAAGCUUCGGGAAGCCUGGACGUCUGCUCACUGGAGAUGACACGUGCGUGGGGUGUUGGCAUUCUUGUUAUUUAACACGGGAAGGAGGUGACUUCGCCUGUGAUGGACUUCCAGUGUGAGCACUGGCCAGAGUGACCAGGCUGACCAGCACCAGCCCUGAUCCAGAUGCAGAGGCCAGGAUGUGGGCCCAGCCCUGUGCCAGGAGGCUGGCUGGAAUAAAGGGAUGGGCAGGCUGGCAUGGGGGCAGCCGCUGCCCCUGCCUGGGUGUUGCUGUGUAUUCCUGCCGGCCAGGGGCCACUGCCAGGACCACGCCUCCCUUUUCAUAUCCCGAUUCUUAAGUUCUGCUAUUGUGGUAUUCUGGUGGAGAAAAAAGAACCGCGUGGCUGUUUUUGAACUGCCUGGAACCUAAGACCCUGAAUUCUUUUCCCCCCCAAGGGGAAAAUCUAUAUGGAAAACAUUUAUUUUAAAAUACAGGAUGAAGUGAAUUAAAAGAUUUAAAUGCACAUUUCUUUAAGGAUAAUAUUUCUGUGUUGGCAAAAUUUGAGAGUAAAUUGGUCUUGAAUGGAA
This 853-nucleotide long non-coding RNA is filed under the name Homo sapiens (human). RNAcentral's name for it is "non-protein coding SNHG7:6". Lineage: Eukaryota; Metazoa; Chordata; Mammalia; Primates; Hominidae. The record is from RNAcentral.